RNAcentral lists this ribosomal RNA (301 nucleotides) under uncultured bacterium. RNAcentral's name for it is "partial 16S ribosomal RNA". It matches the Rfam family "Bacterial small subunit ribosomal RNA", at positions 509 to 807 of the family's 1533-position model. The record is from RNAcentral.
CAGUAGCCACGGGAAUACGGAGGGAGCUAGCGUUGUUCGGAAUUACUGGGCGUAAAGCGCGCGUAGGCGGCUACUCAAGUCAGAGGUGAAAGCCCGGGGCUCAACCCCGGAACUGCCUUUGAAACUAGGUAACUAGAAUCUUGGAGAGGUCAGUGGAAUUCCGAGUGUAGAGGUGAAAUUCGUAGAUAUUCGGAAGAACACCAGUGGCGAAGGCGACUGACUGGACAAGUAUUGACGCUGAGGUGCGAAAGCGUGGGGAGCAAACAGGAUUAGAUACCCCCGUAGUCCCUGUCUCUUAUAC